GACGAACGCUGGCGGCGUGCUUAACACAUGCAAGUCGAGCGGUAAGGCCUUUCGGGGUACUCGAGCGGCGAACGGGUGAGUAACACGUGGGCGAGUUGACCUGCACCUUGGGAUAAGCCUGGGACACUGGGUCUAAUACCGGAUAUGACCUUCUAUCGCUGGGUGGGUGGUGGAAAGAUUUAUCGGUGCAGGAUGGGCCCGCGGUCUAUCAGCUUGUUGGUGGGGUAAUGGUCUACCAAGGCGCCGACUGGUAGCCGACCUGUGAGGGUGACCGGCCACAAUGGGACUGAGAGACGGCCCAGACUCCUACGGGAGGCAGCAGUGGGGAAUAUUGCACAAUGGGCGAAAGCCUGAUGCAGCGACGCCGCGUGAGGGAUGACGGCCUUCGGGUUGUAAACCUCUUUCAGCGGGGACGAAGCGCAAGUGACGGUACCUGCAGAAGAAGCACCGGCUAACUACGUG
RNAcentral lists this ribosomal RNA (462 nucleotides) under uncultured bacterium. RNAcentral's name for it is "partial 16S ribosomal RNA". It matches the Rfam family "Bacterial small subunit ribosomal RNA", at positions 28 to 507 of the family's 1533-position model. The record is from RNAcentral.